This 2085-nucleotide long non-coding RNA is filed under the name Medicago truncatula (barrel medic). RNAcentral describes it as "long non-coding RNA (MTRU_LNC005809)". The record is from RNAcentral. Lineage: Eukaryota; Viridiplantae; Streptophyta; Magnoliopsida; Fabales; Fabaceae.
GUUCAUUAUCACUAUUGAGAGAAAAGAGGCAAAGUUGGGAGAUGAGAGAAAAUAGAAAGUAAGAAGAAGAAAGAAGAAUAUUCAAGAGAAAGAGAGAUGGAAAAGCUUAAGAGUGAGAUUAGAGUGAAGAUUUAAGUUGCUUUUGAAGGGUUAAGGUAAGAGGAAAGUUUAUAUUCACCGUUUAGAGAUUAUGAGUGAUAGAGUGUUUAUGAGUCAUGUUUGUUUAUAUGAUUCUCAUGAAUUUAGUGUUUUGUUAAGUUGAUUUUCAUGCUAUUUAAUUAUGCUAAUUAUGAGUAUGAUGAACUUUAUGAAAUUAUGUUAUUUAUAUGCUUAAACUUAUGCUUGAUGGUAUAAAAUAAGUUGUUCUUGAGAUUUCAGCUUAAAUGUGUGAAAAUCAAGAUGUUGUUGAUGAUUCUUUCUCAAAUUAUGUUCUAAUUGCUAGCUAUGUUGAUGGAAUGAUCAUGUUAAAUUUGAUGUUUGAAUUAAGUUGUGGUUUGUUGGUGAAUUUUGUGAGAAAUGAGUGACAAACCAUGAAAUGAUGUUUUGACGAAUUGAGUUUUGGGAUUAUGAGUUUUGGGUGUGGAAUUGAAUUUGGGGAAAAACGGGUUUUUAAGCUAAAAGUCAAUAUUUAGUGAUUCUAUGAAAUAAGCUAUUUUUGGGCUAAGUUAAUGGAAAUGUUUUGAUUAAGAAAUGAGGCUGAAUAGUAGGGGUUAAAUAGGCUAAGUGAUUGGGAUUGUUUCUGGUGCGAUCAGGAUCGAAAACAGUUUUGAAAACAGACUCUCGUGUGCAAAAACAUAAAAAUUCAAGAACCCUGUCUUGUCAAGGCAGCACGACCAUGCGGCCUAGGAGCACGUAUUGUGUGUAUUGUUCGCACUUGGUCAGUACAACCGUACGGCCAAUUUGCACGACCGUGCGCCCUGUACUAUGUCGGGAAACCUCAUUUUUUUUUUGUCGUUUUUAAAUUUUAAGCAUAUCAUUUGGUCCCAAACACCUAAUCUUAGUUAAUUGAUGUAUAAUUGAGUACUUAAACUUAAUUUAACUUGAUUUGGAUUGGAAUUGAAUUGUAUGGUGCAGACUUUUGAAAAUAGACGAACUUUGACAUUUUAAGAAAUAGAUAAACUUUGAAACUUAAUGAAUCACACUAAGAUAACUUGAGGAUGAUUAUGUGCUAUUGUUGUGAAGAUGAAUGGGGAUUGGUUUGAUUAUGAUAUGUAUUCUUGAAAUGUGGAUUAACUAGAAUGAAUUCUUAAUCGUCUUUAAAUGCCAAUUAUGCUAAAUGAAUGUUUGUUGUUUCUUGAGAUGAUAAAUGUUUGAUGACGAUUGCGGUGAAAUUAUUUAUUGAUGAUAAUUAACUCAUGAUGGUGUGAAUGUGUAUAUAUGUAUAAAUGAGGAUGAAUACAUGUAUAUAAAGUGGUGAAGUUAUGAUGGUGAUGUUUUGUAUGAACAUAUGUAUUUGGUGAGUUAUAUGUUCAUGCAUUCAUGGAUCUUGGAGUACGAUAUUUCAAUAUCCAAGUGGAGAUUAGGAUAAUUGUAUCCAAGUGGUGAUUUAGGAUAUUUCAAUAUCCAAGUGGAGAUAGGAUUAAUCGGUAAAAUAAUUCCGACAUCCAAAAACGGUACCGUAUGAAUAUAGAAUUGUGUCUAGAGCAUUGCAUGCAUAUGAAUCUAUGUGAAAUGAUUUAUACUUGUUGAAUCUAUGUGAAUUUUCUUCUACAUCAACAUGUAUAUUGUAUAGUUCAUUCCCAUCAAAGUAUUAUUUGUAGUUUUAUUAUUGUUUUGAUUUGGCUAUUAUGUUCAAUUUCUUUUUUCCCAGUCCAACGAAAUUACUUUGAUUUUGUCCUGAUGAAGAAUUAGAAUUAUGAAGAUGAACAAAAACACACCAACCAAGAAACGUGAAUUGAGAGAGAAGAUGACAGCAACAAAAACAAUUAAGGAAAAGAACCAGCGGGCCCCAAUAAGAAGCUGAGAAAGUAGAAAAUUUAAAAAUAAAAAUAAUCAUUUAAAGGUCAAUUACGUCAUUGUCCCUUACUAUUGUCUUUUCCAAAAAAUAAAAAAUAGGUUUUUUAGUCUAAAACAAAAGGUGCACCU